AAAGCAGGAGGAGCAGUCGCGCAUUAGAUUGAUGUGAGGAAAGUCCGAGCUCCACAGAAUCACGGCGCCCGGUAACACCGGGGCGGAGAGAUCCGACGGAAAGUGCAGCAGAAACAAACCGCCCGCUUUUGCGGGUAAGGGUGAAAUCGUAGUGUAAGAGACUACGCAUGCGGCUAGUAAUAGUCGUAUGGGGUAAACCCCGCCGGGAGCAAGGCCAAAUAGGGGAAGAGGAGUUGAUUCGCUCCAUUCGAUUCCCGGGUAGGCUGCAUGAGCUGUCAGGUAACUGCCAGCCAAGAUAAAUGACUGUUGUCCGCAUUGCGGAAUACAGAACUCGGCUUAUACUCCUGCAUUCCAC
This 355-nucleotide RNase P RNA is filed under the name Calditrichota bacterium. RNAcentral's name for it is "Calditrichaeota bacterium RNase P RNA component class A". It matches the Rfam family "Bacterial RNase P class A". From Rfam's summary of the family: Ribonuclease P (RNase P) is a ubiquitous endoribonuclease, found in archaea, bacteria and eukarya as well as chloroplasts and mitochondria. Its best characterised activity is the generation of mature 5'-ends of tRNAs by cleaving the 5'-leader elements of precursor-tRNAs. The record is from RNAcentral. Lineage: Bacteria; Pseudomonadati; Calditrichota.